Molecule: ribosomal RNA, 630 nt
Filed under: uncultured Anaerotruncus sp.
Lineage: Bacteria; Bacillati; Bacillota; Clostridia; Eubacteriales; Oscillospiraceae
Description: bacterial SSU rRNA
Rfam family: Bacterial small subunit ribosomal RNA
Source: RNAcentral
AAACUUAAAUGAAUUGACGGGGGCCCGCACAAGCAGUGGAGUAUGUGGUUUAAUUCGAAGCAACGCGAAGAACCUUACCAGGUCUUGACAUCGUGCGCAUAACCUAGAGAUAGGUGAAGCCCUUCGGGGCGCAUAGACAGGUGGUGCAUGGUUGUCGUCAGCUCGUGUCGUGAGAUGUUGGGUUAAGUCCCGCAACGAGCGCAACCCUUAUUACUAGUUGCUACGCAAGAGCACUCUAGUGAGACUGCCGUUGACAAAACGGAGGAAGGUGGGGAUGACGUCAAAUCAUCAUGCCCCUUAUGACCUGGGCUACACACGUACUACAAUGGCACUUUAACAGAGGGCUGCUACAUCGCGAGGUGAAGCGAAUCCCGAAAAAGUGUCUCAGUUCGGAUUGCAGGCUGCAACUCGCCUGCAUGAAGUCGGAAUUGCUAGUAAUCGCGGAUCAGCAUGCCGCGGUGAAUACGUUCCCGGGCCUUGUACACACCGCCCGUCACACCAUGGGAGUCGGUAACACCCGAAGCCAGUAGUCUAACCGCAAGGGGGACGCUGUCGAAGGUGGGAUUGAUGACUGGGGUGAAGUCGUAACAAGGUAGCCGUAUCGGAAGGUGCGGCUGGAUCCUCCUUUAU